Molecule: non-coding RNA, 98 nt
Organism: Acanthosepion pharaonis
Lineage: Eukaryota; Metazoa; Mollusca; Cephalopoda; Sepiida; Sepiidae
Source: the annotation of a GenBank genome assembly
CCUAUACCACCGAUUCUCGUCCGACUACCGAAGUUUAGCAACGUCGAGCAUGAUCAGUACCUCGAUGUGUGACCGAUUGGGAAUACCAAAUGCUGUGA